RNAcentral lists this ribosomal RNA (427 nucleotides) under uncultured Hyphomonas sp. Its description in RNAcentral is "bacterial SSU rRNA". It matches the Rfam family "Bacterial small subunit ribosomal RNA", at positions 8 to 492 of the family's 1533-position model. Lineage: Bacteria; Pseudomonadati; Pseudomonadota; Alphaproteobacteria; Hyphomonadales; Hyphomonadaceae. The record is from RNAcentral.
AGAGUUUGAUCAUGGCUCAGAACGAACGCUGGCGGCAGGCCUAACACAUGCAAGUCGAACGAUACAGUGGCAGACGGGUGAGUAACGCGUGGGAACGUACCUUUCACUACGGAAUAGCUCCGGGAAACUGGUGGUAAUACCGUAUACGCCCUCAGGGGGAAAGAUUUAUCGGUGAAAGAUCGGCCCGCGUUGGAUUAGCUAGUUGGUGAGGUAAUGGCUCACAAAGGCGACGAUCCAUAGCUGGUCUGAGAGGAUGAUCAGCCACAUUGGGACUGAGACACGGCCCAAACUCCUACGGGAGGCAGCAGUGGGGAAUCUUGCACAAUGGGCGAAAGCCUGAUGCAGCCAUGCCGCGUGAAUGAUGAAGGCCUUAGGGUUAUAAAAUUCUUUCGUCAGGGAUGAUAAUGACCGUACCUAAGAAGAGCCC